CCGCCAUGUCCUGUUGGCCAUGAUCGCUUACCGCCUGCAGGCCGAGGUCCUGGGCGACUUAGAUGCCGAGACGGUGCGGUUCUUGAAUACGAUCGAGCUUACCCCCUCCCAGCAGGCGGCCGUUCCGCUGACCCAAGCCUUCGAGCGGCGGAAGCGCGAUCUCCCCGUGGGCGCGGUGCUGACCCGCGAGUGGGCCGGCCAGCAUCAUCGGGUCAUGGUGCUCGACGCGGGGUUCGCCUGGGAGGGGCGCACGUAUCGGAGCCUCUCCGAGAUCGCCACAGCGAUCACCGGCACCAAAUGGGGCGGACCCCGGUUCUUUGGUCUGCGCGAGCAGCGGCAGGCUAAGGCGGCUCCAUGACCACAGCUUCCAAAGCGGUCCGCUGCGCCAUCUACAC
RNAcentral lists this unclassified non-coding RNA (395 nucleotides) under uncultured bacterium. RNAcentral's name for it is "contains 16S-23S intergenic spacer region". The record is from RNAcentral.